GGGCGUAAGGGCUCGCAGGCGGUUUCUUAAGUCUGAUGUGAAAGCCCCCGGCUCAACCGGGGAGGGUCAUUGGAAACUGGGAAACUUGAGUGCAGAAGAGGAGAGUGGAAUUCCACGUGUAGCGGUGAAAUGCGUAGAGAUGUGGAGGAACACCAGUGGCGAAGGCGACUCUCUGGUCUGUAACUGACGCUGAGGAGCGAAAGCGUGGGGAGCGAACAGGAUUAGAUACCCUGGUAGUCCACGCCGUAAACGAUGAGUGCUAAGUGUUAGGGGGUUUCCGCCCCUUAGUGCUGCAGCUAACGCAUUAAGCACUCCGCCUGGGGAGUACGGUCGCAAGACUGAAACUCAAAGGAAUUGACGGGGGCCCGCACAAGCGGUGGAGCAUGUGGUUUAAUUCGAAGCAACGCGAAGAACCUUACCAGGUCUUGACAUCCUCUGACAACCCUAGAGAUAGGGCUUUCCCUUCGGGGACAGAGUGACAGGUGGUGCAUGGUUGUCGUCAGCUCGUGUCGUGAGAUGUUGGGUUAAGUCCCGCAA
Molecule: ribosomal RNA, 537 nt
Filed under: Bacillus pumilus
Lineage: Bacteria; Bacillati; Bacillota; Bacilli; Caryophanales; Bacillaceae
Description: bacterial SSU rRNA
Rfam family: Bacterial small subunit ribosomal RNA
Source: RNAcentral